CCCUUAGAUGUUCUGGGCCGCACGCGCGCUACACUGACGAAUGCAACGAGCUUAUAACCUUGGCCGAAAGGUCUGGGUAAUCUCCAAAUUUCGUCGUGAUGGGGAUAGAUUAUUGCAAUUAUUAAUCUUCAACGAGGAAUGCCUAGUAAGCGCAAGUCAUCAGCUUGCGUUGAUUACGUCCCUGCCCUUUGUACACACCGCCCGUCGCACCUACCGUUUGAAUGGUCCGGUGAAGCCUCCGGAUUGGCGCGCACCUCGGUGCCGCCGAGAAGUUGGCUAAACCUUACCAUUUAGAGGAAGGUGAAGUCGUAACA
This 314-nucleotide ribosomal RNA is filed under the name uncultured eukaryote. RNAcentral's name for it is "partial 18S ribosomal RNA". It matches the Rfam family "Eukaryotic small subunit ribosomal RNA", at positions 1470 to 1796 of the family's 1831-position model. The record is from RNAcentral.